GGAAGGAUCAUUAACACGUAUCCACGUAUCUACCUCUUGUGAAUUUAUUAUUGUGUUGUAGUUAUCUCAGGUACGUCUAAGGAGGCAGAUGACCAUGUCGUGUCGUAAAAAACACGUUCUGCUUGCCUAUCCACCUUUUGUUGAGUGCUAGUGUUUCGAGGUUUUUCCCAUAGUUUUGAAUAAAGAUUAUGAGUCUAACCCUGCUAGCCAUAGCUCCUUAUGGGAUGGGUAUCUGAGAGAACUCGAAUCAUGGUGGUUAUUAACCUAUUAACCCCUUUUUUUUUUUAAAUUGUCUUAGUGAGUGUUCAUCUCUCUUUUUUUACAUUGAGAGUUGACCUCCCACCAAAAACAAACAAAAAUACAACUCUUAGCAACGGAUAUCUCGGUUCUCCUAUCGAUGAAGAACGCAGCGAAAUGCGAUACGUAAUGCGAAUUGCAGAAUUCAGUGAAUCAUCGAAUCUUUGAACGCAAAUUGCACUCUGGGGUAGCCCUCAGAGUACUCUUCUUUCAGUACCGGUUCCACACAAACUCAGCUGCGUGCAAAAAUCAAAAGUUUUUGUACAAAGUUGGAUAAUGAGAGUCAGAUGGUGUGUUUAUUUAUCUCUGUCUGUCUCUUCAAAUAGUUUAUGCUUAUGACACCUGUAAUGCCGAAAGGAUGCUCUCUAUACCAACCCCCUCUGGGUACGAAAGUAAGGCUUCCAAAAGCAAACAGCGUCACUGUCCUCUGAUAAGAUUUAUUUUUUUAGUUCUUUUUUGAAUUAGGAAAAAAAAUUUCUAAGGACUUGGUGAAAUUCGCUGGGAUUGGCCAGAAAAAGUGAUACUAGAGGGAUUGGAGGGUAUCGGCCGAGUAACGCACUACCAUAGGGUGUUUGGAGCUUUUCUCUUAAGAAACUUUUAAAAAAAAGAAAAUGUGUUAAUUUUUUUUUUUUUUAAAUCUCUUAUGAAUUUGGUCUGAAAUGAAGUGAGAAUACCCGCCGAAUUUAAGCAUAUUAUUAAGCGGAGGAAAAGAAACUAACAAGGAUUCCCCUAGUAACGGCGAGUGAAGCGGGAAGAGCUCAACCUGAAAAUCGGUGUACCUAGCGGUGCUUCGAAUUGUGGGGUAGUGACGCAGCGCCAGCGUGUGACCUGGGUAUAAAUCUUUUGAAACAAGGUAUCAGAGAGGGUGAGAAUCCCGUCUUUGACCCGGAGUUUGCCGCGUACGGCCUGUGUUCUAAGAGUCGGAUAGCUUGGGAGUGCUGUCCUAAAUGGGUGGUAAAUUUCAUCUAAAGCUAAAUAUAGAGGAGAGACCGAUAGCGAACAAGUACCGUGAGGGAAAGAUGAAAAGAACUUUGAAAAGAGAGUUAAAAAGUACUUGAAAUUGCUAAGAGGUAAGCACUGGAAACCAGUCAUGCCUGAAGCUAUUUACCUUCUCGCUGUUAGCGCUUAGUGUCGCCUGAGACUUUAAAAGCUUGGUGAUACUUUGUUUGUUUAUCAGGGGGUUGGAAUUGUAGUUUUGGGCGAGUCAACAUCAGUUAGUCUUGUGGGAGAAUGUUGUUUGGGAGGUAGUCCAUGCUAGCAAUAGUAUGGAAACUUAUAUACCAGAUAAUAUAAUACCAUAGGAUUGACUGAGGAAACGAUAACGCGCCCCGCAAGGGAGCGGUCCCUAGUUCCUGCUUUUGUAGUUUGAUACGGAAAACAAAGUUUUGCGUGUUGGCUUUCGAGAGUACUGGAUUGGGUCGAUCAGCUGCGUGUUCGCGAUGUUGACGAAAUGGUUUUCAUUGACCCGUCUUGAAACACGGACCAAGGAGUCUAACAUAUAUGCGAGUAUUUGGGUGCGUAAAACCCUGAUGCGUAAUGAAAGUAAAGCAGGUCUUAAUGACUUGUGAGGUAGGAACCCUGGGCUUGUCUUGGGAGGCACUAUCGACCGAUCAAUCAUUUAUGAGAGAUUUGAGUAAGAGCAUAUCUGUUGGGACCCGAAAGAUGGUGAACUAUGCCUGAUCAGGGCGAAGCCAGGGGAAACUCUGGUGGAGGCUCGUAGCGAUACUGACGUGCAAAUCGUUCGUCUGAAUUGGGUAUAGGGGCGAAAGACUAAUCGAACCAUCUAGUAGCUGGUUCCCUC
RNAcentral lists this unclassified non-coding RNA (2098 nucleotides) under uncultured fungus. RNAcentral's name for it is "sequence contains 18S rRNA gene, ITS1, 5.8S rRNA gene, ITS2, 28S rRNA gene". The stretch from base 948 to 2098 matches the Rfam family "Eukaryotic large subunit ribosomal RNA", at positions 1 to 961 of the family's 3401-position model. The record is from RNAcentral. Lineage: Eukaryota; Fungi.